AUCGCUUCUCGGCCUUUUGGCUAAGAUCAAGUGUAGAAAGUUUGGAAACAAUGAUCAUACCCAGUUCUCCCUAGCCCUAGAUCCUCCUCACUCUGAUUGACUAUGUAAACAUUAUUUUUUUAAAAAAAGAUUUAUUUAUUUUUAUUGGAAAGGCAGAUUUACAGAGAGACGGACAGACAGAAAGGUCUUUCAUCCACUG
Molecule: small nuclear RNA, 199 nt
Organism: Ochotona princeps (American pika)
Lineage: Eukaryota; Metazoa; Chordata; Mammalia; Lagomorpha; Ochotonidae
Product: U2 spliceosomal RNA
Exons: 1
Source: RefSeq, a predicted model, not a curated record